This is a non-coding RNA of Schistosoma haematobium, 45 nucleotides long. The record is from Rfam. Lineage: Eukaryota; Metazoa; Platyhelminthes; Trematoda; Strigeidida; Schistosomatidae.
AUCCAACUGACGAGUCCCAAAUAGGACAAAAUACGUGUCCUGGAU